Molecule: long non-coding RNA, 2458 nt
Organism: Epinephelus moara (kelp grouper)
Lineage: Eukaryota; Metazoa; Chordata; Actinopteri; Perciformes; Serranidae
Exons: 3
Source: RefSeq, a predicted model, not a curated record
AGUUUUGGGAAAUCACGAUGUCUAGAAAGCAUCAGCUGACAGGGACAGCUAAGCAAAGCUAACAUCAGGACGUCAUCUGUUAAAAGCCUCCCGUUGUCGGAUACGACAUGAAACUACUCCAGUUAGCUCAAUCAUGUUGUAACUAAGACAUCCGCUGGAAAAAAAAAAAAUUUCACGGACCGUGACCGGAGUUAUUGCAUACACCGCUAACAGCUUAACGGCGUCCCUACGCCCCUAUGUCGCCCCGGUCAAAAUGGUCGCGCAACGAUUACGUCACAUGUAGAGUCCGGUAACUUUACAGGAACCUUCCUCCUACUCCGCUCUCUCAGUGGAGACACGGCGGUUGAGAGGGCCGGUUGAGAGGGCUGGUACUAUUUGUCCCCCAAAUAGUACCAGGAACUUCUUCAGUGGAAACGGGCCUUUUGUUCUGCGUGUCCAUUCUUUACUGAACUCAGAAUAAUACAGUACAUGGCCGAUGUUGAACUCUCCACAACAUGAUUUUAUUCCAUUGUAUCUAAUUUGCUAAACUGAAGACGACUUUAACUUUGAUCAUUUCAGUUUAGAUUUAUUUAUUUUCUUAUAUUGUGAUUCAUGUAUUAUUAUGCCUCUGCUCCAGUGAUAACUGUGGCAGGAGGCAUUGUGCUUUCAGUUUGUCCGUCUGUGCCAUUCUCGUGAAUGUGAUAUCUGAAGAGCACCUUGAAGGAGUUUCCUCAAAUUUGGCACAAACAUUCACCUGGUCUUAAGAAAUAACUGAUUAGAUUUUGGUGGUCAAAGGCCAUGGUCACUGUGACCUUAUAUCUGUCUCAUUUUCAUGAACGCAAUAUUUUGAUAAGGUCACUGUGACCUCACACAACAUGCUUUUGGUCACAACUUAAGAAUCCAUGCUCUAAUUAUGACAAAAUUUCAGACAACUGUCUGAUAGGAUAAAAAGUUCAAAGGUCAACUUCACUGUGACAUCAUAAUGUUCUGCAUACAACACUUCCCUGGCCAUUAUUCAGCAUCAUAAUUCAGGAACAGAAGGUAAGACAUUUGCUCAGAUACUGAAUUGGUGACACUAAUCUUGGGUGUCCACCUUGAAACUGUGCUGAUUAUUUAGAUCCUCUGUGCUGUCGGGGGGAAGAUGUGUGUGAAGCAUCCAUGUUUUCACAGACAUGGAUAUAAACUGUGAGUGCAAAUAAACUGUUUCACAGAGGCAUACAACCAUGAAGAGGUAAUUCUAGUUUUUAACAAAAUGUGCCACAGUGUCUGUCUUUUUAAAUCUAACACAUAUGUAGAUAAGAUAACAGCUCAUUAUACUGUAUUAACUCAAGUCCAAGUCAGAUGGAUGGAUGGAUGGAUGGAUGGAUGGACGGACUUCUGCUCAAACCUGCUUUAUCUGUACUGGUCCUAUGUUUUAUUUUUGUUGUUGUUGUUAUCAGAGAAGCCCAGUGACAUCACCAUCCCCAUCACUGCAGCAGUGGCUGUUCUCAUCCUCGUUGUUUCCACUGGAUUCAUCGUUUACAAAAAGAGGAGAGCCAAACUUCCCUCAUCUCCUCCUGACAGCAGCUCUGAGCUCUCUGAGAAACUCAAUCCAGAAACCUGACUGACAAAAAGAGUAAACACUUUGAUAUGUUAUAUCAUAACUUUACAAAGCUUUACAAAAAACGACUGAAAGAUGGCUUCCUGCAAUCAGAAUGAAGUGGUUAUGAUUCAUAUGCUUGAUAAUCAAACAUUUAAUAUAAUAGAUUUAUUCCAGAUCACACAUUUUUAAUUUUUUUUUUUUUUUAAUCUUUAUUUUCUCACUUAUUUUACUGUGAUGCAACAAAGUGUUUCCUGUUUCUAAGAAUGCUAAAUAAAUGUUUUUGAUUAUAUUAUAAUAUUUUAUGGCUUCAGGACAAAUGAAUCACAGGUUUCUGUAAACAUGUAGAGACUGAAUGCAGUGCUGAAAAUCACCUCUUGUGGUGGAUUAGACAGGACAGGUGAAGAGACAUGAUUCAUGAUAAGUUUACCACAGGGGUUGCUAACUUAUAGCCACUGCUAAGACUGGAGGAACCACAUAGACAGUGAUGGUGGCUGGACAGCUGAGUGGACCACGGCAGUCAUGAAGUUAUUAAGUCAGUUGGGCCAGCUACUGUAGUUUAGCCUGAGCAGAUAUGAUGGAGAUAUAAGGCAGCAGAGUUUCAGCUCUUUGCUUAGGUGAGUGAAGGAUUUAAAGGCAGCUUAAAGAUACAUUAGGUCAGGGUCAGAGAAAGGUGUCGCCUGUCAGAGGGCUCAGAUUUAUAACGCCACAGCUAACCUAGGACCUAAUGAAAGCUCAAACAUCAUUUAACAUGGAUAUAGGGCUUCCAUAGGAAUCCACACAACCUCUGGCACAUGUUCCUGUGUACUGAUAACCAUAAAUGAAUGUGAAAAUCAAAUGUAUUGCUCUUUCUUUUGGUGCUGAUGUUUUGCUUUUCAAUAAAGUCUCCAAUUUUCAAAA